GACGAACGCUGGCGGCGUGCCUAAUACAUGCAAGUAGAACGCUGAAGAGAGGAGCUUGCUCUUCUUGGAUGGGUUGCGAACGGGUGAGUAACGCGUAGGUAACCUGCCUUGUAGCGGGGGAUAACUAUUGGAAACGAUAGCUAAUACCGCAUAACAAUGGAUGACACAUGUCAUUUAUUUGAAAGGGGCAAUUGCUCCACUACAAGAUGGACCUGCGUUGUAUUAGCUAGUAGGUGAGGUAAUGGCUCACCUAGGCGACGAUACAUAGCCGACCUGAGAGGGUGAUCGGCCACACUGGGACUGAGACACGGCCCAGACUCCUACGGGAGGCAGCAGUAGGGAAUCUUCGGCAAUGGGGGCAACCCUGACCGAGCAACGCCGCGUGAGUGAAGAAGGUUUUCGGAUCGUAAAGCUCUGUUGUAAGUCAAGAACGGGUGUGAGAGUGGAAAGUUCACACUGUGACGGUAGCUUACCAGAAAGGGACGGCUAACUACGUG
RNAcentral lists this ribosomal RNA (497 nucleotides) under uncultured bacterium. Its description in RNAcentral is "partial 16S ribosomal RNA". It matches the Rfam family "Bacterial small subunit ribosomal RNA", at positions 28 to 507 of the family's 1533-position model. The record is from RNAcentral.